GACGAACGCUGGCGGCGUGCUUAACACAUGCAAGUCGAACGGAAAGGCCCUGCUUUUGUGGGGUGCUCGAGUGGCGAACGGGUGAGUAACACGUGAGUAACCUGCCCGUGACUUUGGGAUAACUUCAGGAAACUGGGGCUAAUACCGGAUAGGAGCUCCUGCUGCAUGGUGGGGGUUGGAAAGGUUCGGCGGUUGGGGAUGGACUCGCGGCUUCUCAGCUUGUUGGUGGGGUUGUGGCUUCCCAAGGCCUUGACGGGGAGCCGGCCUGAGAGGGGGACCGGCCACAGUGUGCCUGGGAUGCGGCCCAGACUCCUACGGCGGGCAGCGGUGGGAAACAGUGCACGAUGGGCGGCAGCCUGAUGGAGCAACGCCGCGUGCGGGAGGACUGCCGUCGGGGAGGAACCCGCGUGCGAGUGGGACGAAGCGUGAGUGACGGUAAUGGGUAAGGAAGCACCGGCUAACUACGUG
This 468-nucleotide ribosomal RNA is filed under the name uncultured bacterium. RNAcentral's name for it is "partial 16S ribosomal RNA". It matches the Rfam family "Bacterial small subunit ribosomal RNA", at positions 28 to 507 of the family's 1533-position model. The record is from RNAcentral.